This 627-nucleotide ribosomal RNA is filed under the name Pediococcus sp. QCH-42. RNAcentral's name for it is "bacterial SSU rRNA". It matches the Rfam family "Bacterial small subunit ribosomal RNA", at positions 584 to 1215 of the family's 1533-position model. The record is from RNAcentral. Lineage: Bacteria; Bacillati; Bacillota; Bacilli; Lactobacillales; Lactobacillaceae.
CUUGUUAUGUGAAGCCUUCGGCUCACCGAAGAAGUGCAUUGGAAACUGGGAGACUUGAGUGCAGAAGAGGACAGUGGAACUCCAUGUGUAGCGGUGAAAUGCGUAGAUAUAUGGAAGAACACCAGUGGCGAAGGCGGCUGUCUGGUCUGUAACUGACGCUGAGGCUCGAAAGCAUGGGUAGCGAACAGGAUUAGAUACCCUGGUAGUCCAUGCCGUAAACGAUGAUUACUAAGUGUUGGAGGGUUUCCGCCCUUCAGUGCUGCAGCUAACGCAUUAAGUAAUCCGCCUGGGGAGUACGACCGCAAGGUUGAAACUCAAAAGAAUUGACGGGGGCCCGCACAAGCGGUGGAGCAUGUGGUUUAAUUCGAAGCUACGCGAAGAACCUUACCAGGUCUUGACAUCUUCUGCCAACCUAAGAGAUUAGGCGUUCCCUUCGGGGACAGAAUGACAGGUGGUGCAUGGUUGUCGUCAGCUCGUGUCGUGAGAUGUUGGGUUAAGUCCCGCAACGAGCGCAACCCUUAUUACUAGUUGCCAGCAUUCAGUUGGGCACUCUAGUGAGACUGCCGGUGACAAACCGGAGGAAGGUGGGGACGACGUCAAAUCAUCAUGCCCCUUAUGACCUGGGCU